CCGAGUUUACAACUCCCAAACCCCUGUGAAAAAAAAAAAACAAAUACCACUUGUUGCCUCGGCGGAUCAGCCCGCUCCCGGUAAAACGGGACGGCCCGCCAGAGGACCCCUAAACUCUGUUUCUAUAUGUAACUUCUGAGUAAAACCAUAAAUAAAUCA
This 159-nucleotide unclassified non-coding RNA is filed under the name soil metagenome. Its description in RNAcentral is "partial internal transcribed spacer 1". The record is from RNAcentral.